ACUGACCACCAGUACAUUGCGCGCAUACAGAGCACACCCUGACGAAUAAAACCACCGAACUGCUUGCAAACGAUAUCACAUAGUGGUCAGAAGUCGCAACGACCAGUGAUUUGCCAGUGAAGUUAAAAUACGGCAAUAUAAAGCAAUAAAAUCUGUGUGGUUUGAACAGUGCAACGAAGGACGUAUAUCUUCCAACAAGUGGAUAGCCGAGGAUUGGUGAAUUCCAUUUUUUUGUUCUAUUGUUGCUGUUCACAAGAUGGGCGCGCGCCUAGAGUGAUCGGGUGGUAAAAAUGAGAAUCGGCCUAUUUGUUUCACCAACAUUGAAUCGCACAAUACAGUGGUGGUGACCAAGGUAUCGCAUGCAUCUCGUCAGAAGUUAUUCCGUGGUCCAAGGAAUGGAUGCCGCCACGAAUAGCAUCGUUGCCAAGCGGAGGAUCGCUGUCUGUGGAGCUAUCCAGACAGCCUCAAGCAUGCUUCAACCGCCGCGGGAUACACGGUAUACUGACACACUUCCACACUAGGAUUAAGGGACUGUAGGUUAGGGAUAUGCAGAGUAGGAGUAAGUAGAACAUUUUUUUGAUUAUUUAUUCUAAAUCUCAUUUUUCUUAUUAAACUAUUAUAUAUGUGAAAUUGUAACUCUUUCUUUGUUAUAUUUGGGAGAUUCGGGAGACUUUCGGCGUUUUUAUAUGAUUUCUAGCUAAAUCGCGAACCUGGUCAAUUGGUUUGAUGGGAAGGUGAUUAUUUCUAUCAAGCGAGUUAAUCUUUCGAAUUCUAUCAUUGUCUCAUGCCCAGCUGGAUCUUAAUUCACUGGA
Armigeres subalbatus is the source of this 812-nucleotide long non-coding RNA. RefSeq lists it as uncharacterized. NCBI's taxonomy places the organism in Eukaryota, Metazoa, Arthropoda, Insecta, Diptera, Culicidae. The record is from RefSeq and is a predicted model, not a curated record. The transcript is spliced from 3 exons.